CCUACGGGGAGCUGCAGUGGGGAAUAUUGCACAAUGGGGGAAACCCUGAUGCCGCGACGCCGCGUGAGUGAAGAAGUAUUUCGGUACGUAAAGCUCUAUCAGCAGGGAAGAAAAUGACGGUACCUGACUAAGAAGCCCCGGCUAACUACGUGACAGCAGCCGCGGUAAUACGUAGGGGGCAAGCGUUAUCCGGAUUUACUGGGUGUAAAGGGAGCGUAGACGGCAGCGCAAGUCUGGAGGGAAAUCCCAUGGCUUAACCAUGGAACUGCUUUGGAAACUGUGCAGCUAGAGUGCAGGAGAGGUAAGCGGAAUGCCUAGUGUAGCGGUGAAAUGCGUAGAUAUUAGGAGGAACACCAGUGGCGAAGGCGGCUUACUGGACUGUAACUGACGUUGAGGCUCGAAAGCGUGGGGAGCAAACAGGAUUAGAUACCCCUGUAGUC
Molecule: ribosomal RNA, 440 nt
Filed under: uncultured bacterium
Lineage: Bacteria
Description: partial 16S ribosomal RNA
Rfam family: Bacterial small subunit ribosomal RNA
Source: RNAcentral